This 621-nucleotide long non-coding RNA is filed under the name Vulpes vulpes (red fox). Its description in RNAcentral is "lncRNA (ENSVVUG00000009723.1)". Lineage: Eukaryota; Metazoa; Chordata; Mammalia; Carnivora; Canidae. The record is from RNAcentral.
UGCCAUUAACUGUCAGAAACUUUGGAAGUCUAGCAAAAUGUUCCUGAAUGAUUCUUUACAAAUGUCUCUUGUCUGUUUCUUUCCAUUUCCCAUUCCCACCAUUCCUCUAAAUAUUCCCAAUUCUCUUCUCAUUUCUCCUUUUCAGGGGCAAACCCAUGAGGAACACCACCUUCAUGCCUGUCCCCACAAUGUGACUGCUGUCCACCCCACAGCUGAGGUAUCUGGGAAUUGUGCCCAUCUGAUAAUAGCAGACACUUAAAAUAACAGCAGAGGUGAGAGCUAGGCAUGGUGUUGCCAUGUUAUGUGUUGCCAGGCUAGGAAGCUGAUGAGAGGAAGAGUGGAGACAUGGGUAAUCUCUGAGAAAUAGAGGUAAGGCUUAGUUCCUGCUUCCAGUCCCAUUUCUGAGAUCCUUAUGGUCUAGUUCUUCAUUUCCUUCCUUUGAAGGCCCUUGAAACUUGCAUGUUUACCUUUAUGUUAAACUCUGUUUUUAUUAAGUUAGAUAUAGAGGAUUUCUAUUCCUUGCAAUUAAAUAUAUCCUUACUAAAAUGUAGGUUUUUACAUUGUUUCCUUAAUAAUUUUCUUGAUGUAUCUAUUUCUUUUAUGUAAUCUGUGGCUCUUACU